Long non-coding RNA from Xiphias gladius (swordfish), 194 nucleotides. RefSeq lists it as uncharacterized. The transcript is spliced from 3 exons. The record is from RefSeq and is a predicted model, not a curated record. Lineage: Eukaryota; Metazoa; Chordata; Actinopteri; Istiophoriformes; Xiphiidae.
CUCUCAGCCGUGUGGAGCUGUGUGUCGUCAGCGUCCGUCAUGAUACUGCUGUCCUGACUGUCGUCCACCUCUGCCGCUAACAGGACAAACAGCUGUUCAGCUCCACAAACUGACCAAUCAGAGGGCAGAUCAUGGUGGACACAUUCACUGACGGAUCCAGAUCCAUCGCCCAGCUGAAGUUCAUCAGAGCCAGG